Long non-coding RNA from Mus musculus (house mouse), 563 nucleotides. RefSeq annotates it as predicted gene, 53448. The transcript is spliced from 4 exons. Lineage: Eukaryota; Metazoa; Chordata; Mammalia; Rodentia; Muridae. The record is from RefSeq and is a predicted model, not a curated record.
UUGGAACUGUGGAUGAAGAAGGAAUUUGGAGCAGGGGCAGGAUUCCAGAUGCUUCCAGGAAGAGAAAAAAGGUUUCUUCAAAGGUCUGGCUACUGAGGUAUGGAUUCUGUGUGUGUAGAUGGGAUCUGCUUUUGGACCGUCCCCCUGAAUACCUCAUUCCAUUCUCAAACAGACAUCUGCAUUGGUGUGUACAGCUCCAUGUUCAGCAGAGGCAGACAUCAGAGGUUUGGAGAAAUCUGGGCACAGACUGAAUAAAAAGAAGAAGGCGAGCUGGGCACCAGCAUUCAUCUACGUCUGCCUCCUGAGUGUGGGGGACAACGCGAUCAGAUGCAUCAGGUUCCUCCCACAGCGACUCUGCUGCCUUGAUGGACCCAACUCUCAAACUGAGUCGAAGGAAGACCCUUCCUCCUUAAGUUGUUCUGCAGGCUUCCUGUGUGGGCUUUGCCGUGAAGGACCAUCCUUGGACACCUUCUGUGCUUCAAGGAUCCUAGGAGGAAGAUGGGAAGCUCCAGAAUCCUGGACUGAGUUGAUGUUUUGGCUCACACUCAUUUACGGUGGUAAGG